This is a non-coding RNA of Trichuris trichiura (human whipworm), 221 nucleotides long. The record is from Rfam. Lineage: Eukaryota; Metazoa; Nematoda; Enoplea; Trichinellida; Trichuridae.
GACAUGAGGAAUCGGACUGUGUAAUUAAAACAAAACGUUGUGACAGCCGGUGAUCAGUGUUGACGCAAUGUGAUUUCUGCCCAGUGCUCCGAAUGUCAAAGUAAAGAAAUUCAACCAAGCGCGGGUAAACGGCGGGAGUAACUAUGACUCUCUUGUCCUGAGGCUUUUUGCCGAUGGUUAUUUUGGGCCUGCUGCUUGGUUCAAGGAGUCGCAGGUGGCCU